CUCCGGUUGAUCCUGCCGGACCCGACUGCUAUCAGAGUGGGACUAAGCCAUGCGAGUCAACAUAGCAAUAUGUGGCAUACGGCUCAGUAACACGUAGUCAACAUGCCCAGGGGACGUGGAUAACCUCGGGAAACUGAGGAUAAACCGCGAUAAGUCACUACUUCUGGAAUGGGUAAUGACUCAAAUCUACAUGGCCCCUGGAUUGGACUGCGGCCGAUCAGGCUGUUGGUGAGGUAAUGGCCCACCAAACCUGUAACCGGUACGGGCUCUGAGAGGAGGAGCCCGGAGAUGGGCACUGAGACAAGGGCCCAGGCCCUAUGGGGCGCAGCAGGCGCGAAACCUCUGCAAUAGGCGAAAGCUUGACAGGGUUACUCUGAGUGAUUUCCGUUAAGGAGAUCUUUUGGCACCUCUAAAAAUGGUGCAGAAUAAGGGGUGGGCAAGUCUGGUGUCAGCCGCCGCGGUAAUACCAGCACCCCGAGUGGUCGGGACGUUUAUUGGGCCUAAAGCAUCCGUAGCCGGUUCUACAAGUCUUCCGUUAAAUCCACCUGCUUAACAGAUGGGCUGCGGAAGAUACUAUAGAGCUAGGAGGCGGGAGAGGCAAGCGGUACUCGAUGGGUAGGGGUAAAAUCCGUUGAUCCAUUGAAGACCACCAGUGGCGAAGGCGGCUUGCCAGAACGCGCUCGACGGUGAGGGAUGAAAGCUGGGGGAGCAAACCGGAUUAGAUACCCGGGUAGUCCCAGCUGUAAACGAUGCAGACUCGGUGAUGAGUUGGCUUAUUGCUAACUCAGUGCCGCAGGGAAGCCGUUAAGUUUGCCGCCUGGGGAGUACGGUCGCAAGACUGAAACUUAAAGGGAUUGGCGGGGGAGCA
RNAcentral lists this ribosomal RNA (868 nucleotides) under uncultured archaeon. RNAcentral describes it as "bacterial SSU rRNA". It matches the Rfam family "Archaeal small subunit ribosomal RNA", at positions 1 to 878 of the family's 1478-position model. The record is from RNAcentral.